UACGUAGGUGGCAAGCGUUAUCCGGAUUUACUGGGUGUAAAGGGCGUGUAGGCGGGAGAGCAAGUCAGACGUGAAAUUCCAGGGCUCAACCCUGGAACUGCGUUUGAAACUGUUCUUCUUGAGUGAUGGAGAGGCAGGCGGAAUUCCUAGUGUAGCGGUGAAAUGCGUAGAUAUUAGGAGGAACACCAGUGGCGAAGGCGGCCUGCUGGACGAUGACUGACGUUGAGGCUCGAAAGCGUGGGGAGCAAACAGG
RNAcentral lists this ribosomal RNA (253 nucleotides) under uncultured bacterium. RNAcentral's name for it is "partial 16S ribosomal RNA". It matches the Rfam family "Bacterial small subunit ribosomal RNA", at positions 524 to 776 of the family's 1533-position model. The record is from RNAcentral.